CCUACGGGAGGCUGCAGGCGAGAAAACUUUGCAAUGUGCGAAAGCACGACAAGGUUAAUCCGAGUGGUUUCUGCUAAAGAAACCUUUUGUUAGUCCUAGAAACACUGAUGAAUAAGGGGUGGGCAAGUUCUGGUGUCAGCCGCCGCGGUAAAACCAGCACCUCAAGUGGUCAGGAUGAUUAUUGGGCCUAAAGCAUCCGUAGCCGACUAUGUAAGUUUUCGGUUAAAUCUGUGCGCUUAACGUACAGGCUGCCGGGAAUACUGCAUAGCUAGGAAGUGGGAGAGGUAGACGGUACUUGGUAGGAAGGGGUAAAAUCCUUUGAUCUAUUGAUGACCACCUGUGGCGAAGGCGGUCUACCAGAACACGUUCGACGGUGAGGGAUGAAAGCUGGGGGAGCAAACCGGAUUAGAUACCCGGGUAGUC
This 423-nucleotide ribosomal RNA is filed under the name uncultured archaeon. RNAcentral's name for it is "partial 16S ribosomal RNA". It matches the Rfam family "Archaeal small subunit ribosomal RNA", at positions 322 to 746 of the family's 1478-position model. The record is from RNAcentral.